RNAcentral lists this small RNA (603 nucleotides) under Pan troglodytes (chimpanzee). Its description in RNAcentral is "processed transcript". Lineage: Eukaryota; Metazoa; Chordata; Mammalia; Primates; Hominidae. The record is from RNAcentral.
CUGAAGAAGCAUCUGUAGGCAAUCCAGAAGGAGCGUUCAUGAAGAUGUUACAAGCCCGGAAGCAGCACAUGAGCACUGAGCUGACUAUUGAGUCGGAGGCGCCCUCAGACAGCAGUGGCAUCAACUUGUCAGGCUUUGGGAGUGAUCAGCUUGAAAUUCAGCUAACCGAGCAGCUACGGUCCCUCAUCCCCAACGAGGAUGUGAGAAAGUUCAUGUCUCAUGUUAUCCGGACCUUGAAAAUGGAAUGUUCAGAAACACAUGUGCAAGGGAGCUGUGCCAAGCUCAUGUUGCAAACAGGCCUCCUGAUGAAGCUUCUCAGCGAGCAGCAGGAAGCAAAGGCAUUGAAUGUAGAAUGGGAUACGGACCAACAAAAAACAAAUUAUAUUAAUGAGAACAUGGAACAGAAUGAACAGAAAGAGCAGAAGUCAAGUGAGCUCAUGAAAGAAGUUCCAGGAUAUGACUAUAAGAACAAACUCAUCUUCGCAAUAUCUGUGACUGUAAUACUAAUAAUUUUGAUUAUAAUUUUUUGUCUUAUAGAGGUAAGGACAAUAAUUAAUUCAGGUUUUCAGAAUACAAUCCUGUGUUUGUGUGGAUUCAGAAUCC